Molecule: ribosomal RNA, 374 nt
Filed under: uncultured bacterium
Lineage: Bacteria
Description: bacterial SSU rRNA
Rfam family: Bacterial small subunit ribosomal RNA
Source: RNAcentral
UACGUAGGGUGCAAGCGUUAAUCGGAAUUACUGGGCGUAAAGCGUGCGCAGGCGGUUCCAUAAGACAGAUGUGAAAUCCCCGGGCUCAACCUGGGAACUGCAUUUGUGACUGUGGAGCUAGAGUACGGUAGAGGGGGAUGGAAUUCCGCGUGUAGCAGUGAAAUGCGUAGAUAUGCGGAGGAACACCAAUGGCGAAGGCAAUCCCCUGGACCUGUACUGACGCUCAUGCACGAAAGCGUGGGGAGCAAACAGGAUUAGAUACCCUGGUAGUCCACGCCCUAAACGAUGUCAACUGGUUGUUGGGAGGGUUUCUUCUCAGUAACGAAGCUAACGCGUGAAGUUGACCGCCUGGGGAGUACGGCCGCAAGGUUGAA